RNAcentral lists this ribosomal RNA (345 nucleotides) under Triticum aestivum (bread wheat). RNAcentral's name for it is "partial small subunit ribosomal RNA". Lineage: Eukaryota; Viridiplantae; Streptophyta; Magnoliopsida; Poales; Poaceae. The record is from RNAcentral.
AUGAUGAAUUCAACGCAAGAUCCUGCUGGUAGGAUACCGAGUACAACACAACGACUACUUGUUAGGGAUGCGUCAGGUAAUGUGCACCCUUCAGAGGAAAAUGAUGAUGCACAUUACUCCUUUCAGCAAGUAAAGAAAGGAUAUGUUCUCGUAACAAGGAUGGAAAGUAUAACAGCUUACAAAAACCAACAUGGACAACACAGAUCUGGAACUCAAGAACAACCUGACACUCAUGUGUCUGCUAAUAACGUGUGUGCACUGGAUGGAUGGCCAUCCCAUGCUCGCCGCAACCGUGCACAACUACAGAAUGAAGAAGAAAGGGCGAGGUGUUCUAAAAGGUUCUAA